Oncorhynchus tshawytscha (Chinook salmon) is the source of this 928-nucleotide long non-coding RNA. RefSeq lists it as uncharacterized. Lineage: Eukaryota; Metazoa; Chordata; Actinopteri; Salmoniformes; Salmonidae. The transcript has 2 exons. The record is from RefSeq and is a predicted model, not a curated record.
GUUUAAACACAGCUGUCGAUGCACCAGCUAGUUCACACCACCAACGCUCACCGACAGAGACCCACACUCAGUUCUUAGGAGUGGUGGUGAAGAAUUUUAGCAUGCGCAUCCUUACCAAUGACUCCACUGCAAGGGAUAAGAGUUUAGUCAGUCUGCCCCUCGACUUGGUCAAAGCUCCUCAGUGAUGAGUAGAAACCUGAGAAGUUUGGAACAAGUAAAGGGUCCCUGACUUCAUCUGAAGAAGUUGUCUCACUGUACUGUCCACUCACUGCAUUAGGUAGCUAUACUACAACAACACAAACCAGAAGUAAUGUUCUCUGAUCAAAGCGUAGAUAAAACUCAAUGGUAUUUUCCCCUGAUCAAGUAUAACAACUGACAAUAUUGGGAUUGUACGAUGGUCAAAUAAUUGUGUAACUACAAAUCAAUAGUUCUGGGAUCUGAUGAAGUUUGACCUGAAUAAUGUGAAGGGUUCAUUUUAACAGAAGAGUAAAUUGAUUGUUAAGACUAGAGAUACUACAAUUCACCAGAAUUAAAUGUAACUGGUUACAUUAUUAAACACAUAACAAUUAUGUUCACCAAUAAAAAGUCUGGCAAAAACAAAUGAAGCCAAAGGUUUAUUUUAACUUACAAAAAAAUCGGAUGCAGACACCAAUUAUUCGAUUAAAUCAUAAACUCAUAAAAUAGGCUACAUCAAGAUCAGACAAUGAGAGUGAAGUAACAAAUCAAUGUGCUAUCGGAAGACAUGGAUAUGAGUUGGCAUAGCAACAGCUAUUUCUCUCCAAGAAGGACCUUUCCUCAUGUCUGUACCACACACAGGUAGUUAGCGGUUUACAAUUAGCACAUCCUACAGGAUAACAAAGGAACGAAUGUCAACAACAAAAGUAACAAAGAAUGGUAAAGAGAAAGUUCUGCCGAACGGAAUGCAACA